RNAcentral lists this ribosomal RNA (251 nucleotides) under uncultured bacterium. RNAcentral's name for it is "partial 16S ribosomal RNA". It matches the Rfam family "Bacterial small subunit ribosomal RNA", at positions 57 to 305 of the family's 1533-position model. The record is from RNAcentral.
GCAAGUCGAGGGGCAGCAUUACCGCUUGCGGUAGAUGGCGACCGGCGCACGGGUGCGUAACGCGUAUGCAACCUACCUUUUACUGAGGGAUAGCCCGAAGAAAUUCGUAUUAAUACCUCAUAACAUUAUGAUAUCACAUGUUAUUAUAAUUAAAACUCCGGUGGUAAAAGAUGGGCAUGCGUGACAUUAGGUAGUUGGUGAGGUAACGGCUCACCAAGCCGACGAUGUCUAGGGGUUCUGAGAGGAAGGUC